Molecule: ribosomal RNA, 253 nt
Filed under: uncultured bacterium
Lineage: Bacteria
Description: partial 16S ribosomal RNA
Rfam family: Bacterial small subunit ribosomal RNA
Source: RNAcentral
UACGUAGGAGGCGAGCGUUGUCCGGAAUUACUGGGCGUAAAGCGUGCGCAGGCGGUUUUAUAAGCCAGAUGUGAAAUCCCCGGGCUUAACCUGGGAAUGGCAUUUGGGACUGUAAGGCUAGAAUCUGGCAGAGGGGGGUAGAAUUCCACGUGUAGCAGUGAAAUGCGUAGAGAUGUGGAGGAAUACCGAUGGCGAAGGCAGCCCCCUGGGCUAAGAUUGACGCUCAUGCACGAAAGCGUGGGGAGCAAACAGG